UACUGAACUGCAUACGCUGAUGCCAACAAAGGACCGUACACCGGCAGCAGCAGCACGGGCAAGGAGGGAUCAGCUGGCAGAAGACCUGAAUCGUCUGUAGCCUGGAGGCAGAUUGGUGAAAAUCUAGGGCUACAUGAGACCAGGGCUGGUGUGGAGCAGCUGUAUCUUUCCAUCAGGUCCCAAUUGAACCCUUUGUCAAGCAGUUGCGCCGUGAAUUGUCC
Non-coding RNA from Paramormyrops kingsleyae, 221 nucleotides. The record is from RefSeq and is a predicted model, not a curated record. NCBI's taxonomy places the organism in Eukaryota, Metazoa, Chordata, Actinopteri, Osteoglossiformes, Mormyridae.